AGGGUUUGAUCAUGGCUCAGAUUGAACGCUGGCGGCAUGCCUAACACAUGCAAGUCGAACGGUAACAGAUAAGAUGAUCUCUUCGGAGUGAAUCUUUGCUGACGAGUGGCGGACGGGUGAGUAAUGCUUGGGAAUCUGCCCAAUAGUGGGGGAAAACUCGGGGAAACCCGGGCUAAUACCGCAUAAUCUCUACGGAGGAAAGAGGGCCUCUACAUGUAAGCUCUCGCUAAUGGAUGAGCCCAAGUCAGAUUAGCUAGUUGGUAAGGUAAUGGCUUACCAAGGCUACGAUCUGUAGCUGGUCUGAGAGGAUGAUCAGCCACACUGGGACUGAGACACGGCCCAGACUCCUACGGGAGGCAGCAGUGGGGAAUAUUGCACAAUGGGCGCAAGCCUGAUGCAGCAAUGCCGCGUGUGUGAAGAAGGCUCUAGGGUUGUAAAGCACUUUCAAUAGAGAAGAAAAGCUUGAAAUUAAUACUUUCAAGCCUUGACGUAAUCUAUACAAGAAGCACCGGCUAAUUCCGUGCCAGCAGCCGCGGUAAUACGGGAGGUGCGAGCGUUAAUCGGAAUUACUGGGCGUAAAGCGAGCGUA
This 589-nucleotide ribosomal RNA is filed under the name uncultured bacterium. Its description in RNAcentral is "bacterial SSU rRNA". It matches the Rfam family "Bacterial small subunit ribosomal RNA", at positions 8 to 573 of the family's 1533-position model. The record is from RNAcentral.